This is a non-coding RNA of Pelobates cultripes (western spadefoot toad), 1277 nucleotides long. The record is from the annotation of a GenBank genome assembly. NCBI's taxonomy places the organism in Eukaryota, Metazoa, Chordata, Amphibia, Anura, Pelobatidae.
GUGGUAGAAGCAGAUUUAUAAGGUCACGCAAUAGAGGUAUAAUGACAAUAACCAUUCAAAUUUACAGGGUUAAGGAGAGAUUUUGUGGGUGCAUUUAAAGGGGACACUUCAGAAAAAAAUACUUGCAUGGUAAUAGUGUAAUAGAGUUCUUUACACUAUAGACCGGUGGUAGGCAACCUUCCGCACUUUAGGUGUUGUUGACUACAUCUCCAAUCAUGCUCUUACAGUCUUAAUACUGGCAAAGCAUCAGUAGAGAUGUAGUUUACAACAUCUGGAGUGCUGAAAUUUGCCUAGCCCUGCUAUAGACCCACAAUUUCCUACAUUUUCCAUCAUAAUCCACUAAAAUAUCCACUAUACCUGACAUACCAGCAUUAUGAUGAAAAACCUGUCCCAUUUCGCAGAACAUUACUUUUUCACAUCUCAUGGAAUCUUCAUAAUAUUUUACCCUUAAAUUAAUUUCUACAUAAGAACAACCAAGAAUCUAGCAUAUUCUACGAUUGAGGUGUCCAAAGAAUUGGGUUGUGGAACAACUCCGAUUGUACAGUUGAGUAAAGUGAGUAACUGUGCAGCAACCUCUCUAUUCUAAGUGCUGACACAAGACUAGUAUUUAUAUGUGAUAGUAACAGUUAGUAGAAUGUUAUGUUUAUACUGAAGCCAGAAUACUGUAUUACUGGGCCCAUGGAAUAAUAUGUUAACAAGAUGUGAGCCGGGAGUCACACAUGCAAUAAGUGCCCUCCAAGACAUUUUCAGGGUGCUCAGGGGACUCCACCAGCUAAAUGAGGCCUUCUAAAACUUUCACUUGCAGGGAUGUGGUGAUGCAUUGCUUUGUAGUGCUUUGUAGUGCCUUGUCAGCUCCUCUGGCUGUAGAAUGUUUAAUAAAAUGUAAUGAAAUAGAAUCAGGGAAGAAACAUACUUAAAUAGCCAUAUACACACGAUUGAUAGUCAUUGAUUAACAUUUCACCACCUUCUGUGCCAUCUGGUUAUUAUUAGAUCACAGCAGUACAGUGCCAUUCAGCACAGAAGACAUUUAUGAUGCACUUUUACAUCCCUAUAUUACUUGCCUAUACAUUUCUGCAAUAUAAAUAAAAUUAUUAUGCAAAAUGGCUGCCACUGUUGUGUGUUCAUUUAAUAAACUAUAACAUAAAAAAAGAAUAACAUAAAAAUAGAAGGCAUGUAAGAGUAUAUUUCUCCCACCUUGUGCACUUUCUAUUCAUAAUUUACAAUAGUCUUUCAUGUCCUAAUUGACAGUCAUUGAUGGUUCUGAAGUUGAAUUGAAG